This 72-nucleotide transfer RNA is filed under the name Streptomyces phage Wofford. RNAcentral describes it as "tRNA-Val". It matches the Rfam family "tRNA". From Rfam's summary of the family: Transfer RNA (tRNA) molecules are approximately 80 nucleotides in length. Their secondary structure includes four short double-helical elements and three loops (D, anti-codon, and T loops). Lineage: Duplodnaviria; Heunggongvirae; Uroviricota; Caudoviricetes; Stanwilliamsviridae. RNAcentral also lists the same sequence under 1 other name. The record is from RNAcentral.
GCCCGCUUAGUUCAAUGGUAGAACGCCUGCACGACACGCAGGGAACGGGAGUUCAAUUCUCUCAGCGGGUAC